RNAcentral lists this ribosomal RNA (471 nucleotides) under uncultured bacterium. Its description in RNAcentral is "bacterial SSU rRNA". It matches the Rfam family "Bacterial small subunit ribosomal RNA", at positions 329 to 793 of the family's 1533-position model. The record is from RNAcentral.
CUACGCACUCCUACGGGAGGCAGCAGUGGGGAAUAUUGCACAAUGGGCGCAAGCCUGAUGCAGCCAUGCCGCGUGUAUGAAGAAGGCCUUCGGGUUGUAAAGUACUUUCAGCAGUGAGGAAGGUGGGUAUGUUAAUAGCAUAUUCAUUUGACGUUAGCUGCAGAAGAAGCACCGGCUAACUCCGUGCCAGCAGCCGCGGUAAUACGGAGGGUGCGAGCGUUAAUCGGAAUUACUGGGCGUAAAGCGCAUGCAGGUGGUUUGUUAAGUCAGAUGUGAAAGCCCGGGGCUCAACCUCGGAAUUGCAUUUGAAACUGGCAAACUAGAGUACUAUAGAGGGGGUAGAAUUUCAGGUGUAGCGGUGAAAUGCGUAGAGAUCUGAAGGAAUACCGGUGGCGAAGGCGGCCCCCUGGACAGAUACUGACACUCAGAUGCGAAAGCGUGGGGAGCAAACAGGAUUAGAUACCCUGGUAG